GCCUUUUUAGCUCAGUUGGUAGAGCAACGCAUUCGUAAUGCGUAGGUCGGGGGUUCGAGUCCCCCAAAAGGCU
This 73-nucleotide transfer RNA is filed under the name Bacteroidota bacterium. RNAcentral describes it as "Bacteroidetes bacterium (human oral metagenome) tRNA-Thr". It matches the Rfam family "tRNA". From Rfam's summary of the family: Transfer RNA (tRNA) molecules are approximately 80 nucleotides in length. Their secondary structure includes four short double-helical elements and three loops (D, anti-codon, and T loops). RNAcentral also lists the same sequence under 1 other name. Lineage: Bacteria; Pseudomonadati; Bacteroidota. The record is from RNAcentral.